UACGUAGGGUGCGAGCGUUGUCCGGAAUUACUGGGCGUAAAGCGUGCGCAGGCGGUUUUGUAAGCCAGAUGUGAAAUCCCCGGGCUUAACCUGGGAAUGGCAUUUGGGACUGCAAGGCUGGAGUUUGGCAGAGGAGACUGGAAUUCCUGGUGUAGCAGUGAAAUGCGUAGAUAUCAGGAGGAAUACCGAUGGCGAGGGCAGGUCUCUGGGCUAUAACUGACGCUCAUGCACGAAAGCGUGGGGAGCAAACAGG
This 253-nucleotide ribosomal RNA is filed under the name uncultured bacterium. RNAcentral describes it as "partial 16S ribosomal RNA". It matches the Rfam family "Bacterial small subunit ribosomal RNA", at positions 524 to 776 of the family's 1533-position model. The record is from RNAcentral.